RNAcentral lists this unclassified non-coding RNA (336 nucleotides) under Hevea brasiliensis (rubber tree). The record is from RNAcentral. Lineage: Eukaryota; Viridiplantae; Streptophyta; Magnoliopsida; Malpighiales; Euphorbiaceae.
AACUGGAGCAGCUGCAAUGAAAGCCAUGCAGAAGGCAACGAAUAUUGACGAUGUUGACAAAACAAUGGAUGAAAUUAAUGAGCAGACUGAGAACAUGAAAAUGAUUCAGGAAGCAUUGUCUACACCAAUUGGUGCAGCCGCUGAUUUUGAUGAAGAUGAGUUAGAGGCAGAACUUGAAGAACUGGAAGGAGCUGAGUUGGAGGAACAACUCCUUCAGCCUGCUACUACUGCUCCUUCUGCACCUAUUCAUAUGCCUGCUGGUAGGCAACAAGUGCGUCCUGCUGCCCAACACAGCAGAACGGAAGAAGAUGAACUUGCUGCUUUGCAGGCUGAAAU